CCUUCGCCACGCCCGCUCAAGAACUACAAAGGAAUUGACGGGACCCCGCACAAGCGGUGGAUCAUGUUGUUUAAUUCGAUGAUACGCGAAGAACCUUACCAGGUCUUGACAUCCCCCGCGAUGCUUUAGAGAUAAAGCGGAGGUAUUCGGGGAGACAGGUGGUGCAUGGUUGUCGUCAGCUCGUGUCGUGAGAUGUUGGGUUAAGUCCCGCAACGAGCGCAACCCCUAUUGCUAGUUACCAUCAUUAAGUUGGGGACUCUAGCGAGACUGCCAGUGAUAAACUGGAGGAAGGUGGGGAUGACGUCAAAUCAUCAUGCCCCUUACGACCUGGGCUACAAACGUGAUACAAUGGCUGGAACAAAGGGAUGCGAAGCAGUGAUGUGGAGCGAAACCCAUAAAAACAGUCUCAGUUCGGAUUGAAGUCUGCAACUCGACUUCAUGAAGUCGGAAUCGCUAGUAAUCGCGGAUCAGAACGCCGCGGUGAAUACGUUCUCGGGGUUU
This 501-nucleotide ribosomal RNA is filed under the name uncultured Acholeplasma sp. Its description in RNAcentral is "bacterial SSU rRNA". It matches the Rfam family "Bacterial small subunit ribosomal RNA", at positions 903 to 1382 of the family's 1533-position model. The record is from RNAcentral. Lineage: Bacteria; Bacillati; Mycoplasmatota; Mollicutes; Acholeplasmatales; Acholeplasmataceae.